RNAcentral lists this ribosomal RNA (557 nucleotides) under Anabaenopsis sp. MBTD-CMFRI-S128. Its description in RNAcentral is "bacterial SSU rRNA". It matches the Rfam family "Bacterial small subunit ribosomal RNA", at positions 217 to 788 of the family's 1533-position model. Lineage: Bacteria; Bacillati; Cyanobacteriota; Cyanophyceae; Nostocales; Nodulariaceae. The record is from RNAcentral.
GCCUGAAGAUGAGCUCGCGUCUGAUUAGCUAGUAGGUGUGGUAAAGGCGCACCUAGGCGACGAUCAGUAGCUGGUCUGAGAGGAUGAUCAGCCACACUGGGACUGAGACACGGCCCAGACUCCUACGGGAGGCAGCAGUGGGGAAUUUUCCGCAAUGGGCGAAAGCCUGACGGAGCAAUACCGCGUGAGGGAGGAAGGCUCUUGGGUUGUAAACCUCUUUUCUCAGGGAAGAAAAAAAUGACGGUACCUGAGGAAUAAGCAUCGGCUAACUCCGUGCCAGCAGCCGCGGUAAUACGGAGGAUGCAAGCGUUAUCCGGAAUGAUUGGGCGUAAAGGGUCCGCAGGUGGCCAUGUAAGUCUGCUGUUAAAGAAUGAGGCUUAACCUCAUCAGAGCGGUGGAAACUACACAGCUAGAGUGCGGUCGGGGUAGAGGGAAUUCCUGGUGUAGCGGUGAAAUGCGUAGAUAUCAGGAAGAACACCAGUGGCGAAAGCGCUCUACUAGACCAUAACUGACACUGAGGGACGAAAGCUAGGGGAGCGAAUGGGAUUAGAUACCCC